AUGAACGCUGGCGGCGUGCCUAACACGAUGCAAGUCGAACGGAGAUAGACGCUGAUGAGGCUUCGGCGGAUUCUGUUAAUCUUAGUGGCGGACGGGUGAGUAACGGCGUGGGCAACCUGCCUCGUACUGGGGGGAUAGCAGUUGGAAACGACUGAUAAUACCGCAUAAGCGCACAAGGUCGCAUGACCUGGUGUGAAAAAACUCCGGUGGUACGAGAUGGGCCCGCGUCAGAUUAGCUAGUUGGUGAGGUAACGGCCCACCAAGGCGACGAUCUGUAGCCGGACUGAGAGGUCGGACGGCCACAUUGGGACUGAGACACGGCCCAAACUCCUACGGGAGGCAGCAGUGGGGGAUAUUGCACAAUGGAGGAAACUCUGAUGCAGCGACGCCGCGUGAAGUGAAGAAGUAUUUCGGUAUGUAAAGCUCUAUCAGCAGGGAAGAAAGGCUCGCAAGAGAGAUGACGGUACCUGACUAAGAAGCCCCGGCUAACUACGUGCCAGCCGCCGC
RNAcentral lists this ribosomal RNA (507 nucleotides) under uncultured bacterium. RNAcentral's name for it is "bacterial SSU rRNA". It matches the Rfam family "Bacterial small subunit ribosomal RNA", at positions 29 to 518 of the family's 1533-position model. The record is from RNAcentral.